GUAGUCCCUGAGCUGCAACUUGAUGAUGUGGUGAUUUUACUAUUUCUCUUGGGAGGUUCAGGUACACACUGUGCCGUGGGUUCAUGGGAGACUUUGUUCAGACAGCAUUUUACACGACAGUCUGUUUAAAUGCUUUAGGGGACCAAAACAUCUAAAGGUACCUUGGCAGCAAGAUGGGGGAAUGAACUGAAGCCUAGGAAGGAAGCCUGGCCUGCCCUUGGCCUGACCACAGCCACCGCAGGGCUAGAGUCCUCCAGUAUCUCCUGAGGUGGGGAGCAGGUGGGCCGCUCCAUGAAAACCAACUAGAUGAUGGGAAAAUGGACAGCUUUGCUCAGGGCAAUCUUCCCACCCUGGCCCCCAAAAUUGGUACUAUAAACAUGGCACUCAAACAUGAGAAUGAUUUCUUAAAAUGUUAGAGGAACUAAAACUCCUUAAAUUGUAGAUUACCUCAAGGGCCAAUAUAGUUAACCAGACACACCUUAGGCAGAUACCUGUUUUCUCUGUCUCUCAAGGCCCAACUCACUAGUGACCAGUAUUUGUAAGGAGACCCAUCUUUCUCAUCUGCUAAAUCCAUGCCAGUGUUAGAGGCCUGCACCAGUCAGAGUCUGCGCCAGUGCUGGAGGCCUGCAGUCUGCUUUCACUUCACAAAAACCGUCUAAGUUGGAAGAACUGUCCUCUGGUGCCUCUUAACUUCCCGCAGCAAUGGCCCUGCCCAUGCCUGCCCACUUUCUGCUCUAACACUCCAGAGGCAGUGGGCAGCUUUUGGACCUAGGAGGGUGUAAGUAACUUCCCUGCAUAGACUUUAGUCAACAUCUCUUGUCUCUGGACAAGCGCAGAGCAACAAGCAGAAGUGGGGAGGUGGGG
Molecule: long non-coding RNA, 864 nt
Filed under: Homo sapiens (human)
Lineage: Eukaryota; Metazoa; Chordata; Mammalia; Primates; Hominidae
Description: HSALNT0353650
Source: RNAcentral